UAGAGUUUGAUCCUGGCUCAGAACGAACGCUGGCGGCGUGCUUAACACAUGCAAGUCGAGUGCGCGGUUGUAGCAAUACAACUGGCGCACGGCGCACGGGUGCGUAACACGUGGGCAAUCUGCCCUUCGAUGGGGAAUAACUCCGGGAAACCGAAGCUAAUUCCGCAUAACAUUCCUUGGACCUCGGUUCGAGGACUCAAAGCCGUAAGGCGUCGAAGGAGGAGCCCGCGCACGAUUAGCUAGUUGGUAGGGUAACGGCCUACCAAGGCUUUGAUCGUUAGCUGGUCUGAGAGGAUGGCCAGCCACACUGGAACUGAGACACGGUCCAGACUCCUACGGGAGGCAGCAGUGGGGAAUCUUGCACAAUGGGCGAAAGCCUGAUGCAGCGACGCCGCGUGGGGGAUGAAGCAUUUCGGUGUGUAAACCCCUUUCGACCCGGACGAAUGCCUCGCAAGAGGAGUGACGGUACGGGUAUAAGAAGCCCCGGCUAACUACGUGCCAGCAGCCGCGGUAAGACGUAGGGGGCCAGCGUUGUUCGGAAUUACUGGGUGUAAAGGGUUCGUAGGCGGUGUGGCAAGUUGGGAGUGAAAUCUCUGGGCUCAACCCAGAGGCUGCUUCCAAAACUGCUGUGCUUGAGUGUGGGAGAGGCGCGUGGAAUUGCAGGUGUAGCGGUGAAAUGCGUAGAUAUCUGCAGGAACACCCGUGGCGAAUCGGCGCGCUGGACCACACUGACGCUGAGGACGAAGCUAGGGGAGCAACAGGAUAGAUACCUGGUAGUCUAGCCUAAUGAUCAGACUUGGGGGUGCCGCACGUUCGUGCGUCGU
This 824-nucleotide ribosomal RNA is filed under the name uncultured soil bacterium. Its description in RNAcentral is "SSU rRNA". It matches the Rfam family "Bacterial small subunit ribosomal RNA", at positions 1 to 844 of the family's 1533-position model. The record is from RNAcentral.